This 377-nucleotide ribosomal RNA is filed under the name uncultured bacterium. RNAcentral's name for it is "bacterial SSU rRNA". It matches the Rfam family "Bacterial small subunit ribosomal RNA", at positions 30 to 419 of the family's 1533-position model. The record is from RNAcentral.
AUUGAACGCUGGCGGCAGGCCUAACACAUGCAAGUCGAGCGGGGUUUUCGGACCUAGCGGCGGACGGGUGAGUAAUGCGUAGGAAGCUACCCGAUAGAGGGGGAUACCAGUUGGAAACGACUGUUAAUACCGCAUAAUGUCUACGGACCAAAGUGUGGGACCUUCGGGCCACAUGCUAUCGGAUGCGCCUACGUGGGAUUAGCUAGUUGGUGGGGUAAUGGCUCACCAAGGCGACGAUCCCUAGCUGGUUUGAGAGGAUGAUCAGCCACACUGGAACUGAGACACGGUCCAGACUCCUACGGGAGGCAGCAGUGGGGAAUAUUGGACAAUGGGCGCAAGCCUGAUCCAGCCAUGCCGCGUGUGUGAAGAAGGCCUGG